UGGGGAAUUUUACGCAAUGGGGGAAACCCUGACGUAGCGACACUGCGUGAGCGAAGAAGCCUUUUGGGGUGUAAAGCUCUGUCAGCUGGAACGAACACAAUGACGGUACCAGCAGAGGAAGCAUCGGCUAACUACGUGCCAGCAGCCGCGGUAAGACGUAGGAUGCAAGCGUUGUCCGGAUUCAUUGGGCGUAAAGAGUUCGUAGGUGGUCUGUUAAGUUUGGUGUUAAAGAGCGGGGCCCAACCCCGAUAGUGCACUGAAUACUGGCAGACUUGAGUGCGGUAGAGGUAAGUGGAAUUCCAAGUGUAGCGGUGAAAUGCAUAGAUAUUUGGAAGAACACCGGUGGCGUAAGCGGCUUACUGGGCCGUAACUGACACUGAGGAACGAAAGCCGGGGUAGCGAAUG
Molecule: ribosomal RNA, 405 nt
Filed under: uncultured bacterium
Lineage: Bacteria
Description: bacterial SSU rRNA
Rfam family: Bacterial small subunit ribosomal RNA
Source: RNAcentral